This 5378-nucleotide long non-coding RNA is filed under the name Sus scrofa (pig). RNAcentral describes it as "lncRNA (ENSSSCG00000060552.1)". Lineage: Eukaryota; Metazoa; Chordata; Mammalia; Artiodactyla; Suidae. The record is from RNAcentral.
AUCCAUCUAUCCAACAAUCAGUGUGUGCAUGUGUGCACAAAGAAUUUUAAGUACAUAAUGAGACACUAUGAUCGAUAAUAAACCAGUUCCAUGCCAGCAGCAUGGUAAAGGAGUUAAAUAUGAAGUCCUAUUCUUUGAGAUAUAAACCAGAAUAAGUUGACAGUUACCCGGUGCAUAUCCUUUAAAAAAUACAUUUCUUUCUUUAGCAUGAAAUUGACCUAGAAUUGAUCCCAAGAUCCAAGAAGACAUCAAUUUCUUAUAAGGAGAUAGAGCUUCUGAUAGGCUUACAUUAACUUUAAAAUCAUAGGGCAACCAUGUAAGAAAGGCCACAAAGAAAAUCUGUUUUCAGAUGGGGAGUUUACACUACAGAUGUGCAGAGGAAAACUACCUUCAUCUAAGUUGCUCUAUGGUUGCCACUUUCCCAAUAUGCACACACACACACACGCUCAAUAGCAUGUGAACAUGCAUACACAUACCUGCACAUGUACACAUAUGUUCAUAUACAGACUGGCUUAAUUUGGAUUAUUGUGUAGCAGCCACAGCUAGGCUUUGGAAGAAGACAAACUUAAAUUGAAACCUUAUGACCUUGAUUUGGUCAGUCUCUUGGUCAAUCCAGAAUAUCAAUAGUAUUCACCUUAUAGACUUGUUGGAGUGCUAAGAUAAUACCUGCGUUGGUGUUCUCCAGAGAAACAGAACCAAUGGGAUGUGUGUAUGGGAGAAAGAGAGGGAGAGAAAUUGAAUGAUUAAUUUAAAGGAAUUAGCUCAUGUGAUGGUGAAGUCUUGGCAACAAAAAAAUCUAUAGGGUAGAUUAAUUAACAGGUAACAGGUAACAGACUAGAGACCCAGGGAAGAGGUAGGUAGUUUGAGACUAAAGACAGUUUGCUGGCAGAAUUCCUUCUUUCCCAGGGGGAGUCACUCUUGGUUCUAUUAAAUUCUUCCACUAAUUAGACAAGGCUCACUCACCUUACAGAGGGUAAUCUGUUUUAUGAGAAGUCUACUGAUUUGAAUGUUGAAUUUUAUACAAAAAUAAGUUUACGGGUACAUCCAGAAUGAUACUUGACCAGAUAUUCUGGGUACUGUGGCCGAGUUGAUACAUAGAUGAACUAUCAUACAAUGUAAAUAAUUACUUAGCGGUAUGCCUGACACGUAAUAAAUACUCAUCAUGUUACUCAUAAAGUAUUAGCCAGUAUCUUAGGCAGUCACAUCAGGGCUUCAUUUGACAGCAGUUUUGUCUCAGACUCUAUAUAGGACAGGACUCCCAGAAGAUUCAAAACCAGACUAUGUAACUUUAAUUAGAAUUGUUAAAUUCCUUGAACUCAUAGAUUAGGGAUAAUUCAGUCUUGUAUGGAAAAAUCCUACAGAUUUCUGUCUUUUUGCUACUAAUUACUGUCUCUGAAGGUUUUUAGGUACAAUUUGAUGUUUUUUCCCUUGCUUCAUCUCUCAUAGUCUUGGACUUGUUUCUCCCAACAGGCUAAAAGGCUUGUUUUCUUAAAAAUAUGAUUAUACUCACUUGAAAAUAUCAAGAAGUAAGGUAAUUAGGCACAGGGAUGAUUAAGUCAACACUCUUGGAAAUUACCUUGAAAAUAAUGUAGAUAAUUAUAUCCCCAUAUUUCUCACUUAAAUUGAAUCAGACCAACAAGAGCAAAAACAACCAUUGAAAAUUGUUGAUCUCUUGGAGUUCCCAUCAUGGUGCAGUGGUUAAUGAAUCCGACUAGGAACCAUGAGGUUGCGGGUUCAAUCCCUGGCCUUGCUCAGUGGGUUAACGAUCUGGCAUUGCUUUGAGCUGUGGUGUAGGUCGCAGACACAGCUCAGAUCCCGUGUUGCUGUGGUUCUGGCAUAGGCUGGUGUCUAUAGCUCCGAUUAGACCCCUAGCCUGAGAACCUCCAUAUGCCGUGUGAAGCGGCCCUGGAAAAGGCAAAAAGACAAAAAAAAAAAAUUGUUGAUCUCAUAAUUUGAGCUUUCUGAAAGCAAUGUUCAGUAACCUGUGCAGUUGAUUAAAUGCCUAGGCAGACAUCUAUUUCUAAGGCAGCUGCUAAAAAUAAGAAAUUAAUUAUUGAAAGGCUUAAUCCUGGACUCUUUUUAUCACUAUGCAAUACAUCUCUAUCUUAUUAGCUAUUUGGUAAAGAAUGAUGAAAGUGACUAUUUUUCAGAAGAAUUGUUAUCAAUAACUCCCUAAAGCCAUUCCAAGGCCUUUUCAUCAAGUGUCUGCACAUCCAUAUUAGCAGAUCAAAUUUACUAUUUUUACAGUACUUUUAGCAUGGCAAGAUCCAAAUCACUUUACUUAGAAGGAAAUUAUUAGAACCUUUGUAUAAUAAAGACUUUGUUGAUAUGUAGACUUGACAUGAAAGGAAAAAAAUAUUGCUGAAUGGUAUAUAUACUGUGGAUAAUGGUUUACUUACGUGAGUAGUGGUCUUUGGGAUGAAUGAGCAGUUUCAAGCUUAAGAUUAUUCCUCAUUCUUCCCUUCUCAAAACAGUUUCACCUAUGAUAAACAUAAGGUUGGUUUAUAAAUCUGUUUGUGUCUGUUUUUUAAAUAAAUUCUCUUGAAUGAUUUUUAUUAGAUUGUACAUAUAAGUGAUGUCAUAUGGUAUUCGUCUUUCUCUGUCUGAUUUACUUCACUCAGUUAAGAUAAUCUCUAGUUCCAUCCAUGUUGCUGUGAAAACAUUGGAAGGGUGGGAACAACAUAUAUACACUACUGUAUAAAAUAAAUGAUUAACAAGAACCUACUGUAUUAACACAGGAAAAUCUACUCAAUGGUUUGUAACACCCUAUAUGGGAAAAAAGAAUGGAGGAGUUCCCAUAGUGUCGCAGUGGAAACGAGUCUGACUAGAACCAUGAGGUUGUGGGAUCAAACCCUGUCCUUGCUCAGUCGGUUAAGGAUCUGGCAUUACUGGGAGCUGUGGUGUAGGUCACACAGAUGUGGCUCAGAUCCCACAUUGCUGUAGCUGUGGCGAAGGCUGGUGGCUAUAGCUCUGAUUAGACCCCUAGCCUGGGAACCUCCAUAUGCCACAAGUAUGGCCCUAAAAAAAAAAAAAUACAAAAAGACAAAAAAAAAAAAAAUGAAUGAAUAUACUUACAUGUAUAACUGAUUCACUUUGCUGCACACCUGAAACUAAGACAACAUUGCAAAUCAACUAUACUCCAAUAAAAUUAAAUUUAAAAAAUUAUCCCUCAAAUGGAAUUAAAGGAAAAAUUAGGUAAUGUUUUGUGGAUUGUGAAUAUCUACAACAAAUUACAGGGUAAUCACAAAACAACACAUUUCACAUUCAGGACAAAUUCUUUUUUUUUUUUUCUUUUUUGGUCUUUUUUUCUUUUUAGGGUCACACUCAUGGCAUAUGGUGAUUCCAGGCCUAGGGGUCCAAUCAGAACUGUAGCCAGUGGCCUCUGCCAGAGCCAGAGCAACGUGGGAUCUGAGCCAUGUCUGCAAUCUACACCACAUCUCAUGUCAACUCCUGAUCCUUAUCCCACUGAGCAGGGCCAGGGAUCGAACCUGUGUCCUCAUGGAUGCUAGUCGUGUUCACUAACCACUGAGCCAUGAUGGGAACUCCUCAGGACAAAUUCCUAAUUGUACUGCUCCUAGAUCUUCUGGAAAGAAGUGGCAGUAUGGAGAUUUAUCAACUCCCAUUCAUUCUGCCCACUGGGUGACCUACCUGGGUCUGAUGGAAUCUCCUCCUCAAGGGAGAACCAACUCAGAGAGUUAUUGAUGAUGAAGUCCCCAUGAGCUCUAGAAGUGGGGCAAUCAAUGGUGGUAUGUAGAACUGCCAGAAAUAAACGGAGCCAGAGGAUAAGUAUGCUUAACGGCAGAGAGCUGGGGUGACCAGCUCAAAGAGACCUUAUCCGGGUCGGGUGGAUGGGGGAAAUACUUUCCAGGGAAGUUACGAUUGAGGGAAAUAAUGCUUAGGGUGGCCAGGUAGCACUGCAUGGAAUUAUUUAAAGGGGCUGGAGUGUUCUGGGUCUAAGGUAUUUUGGUGCCAGUGUUGCGAAAUUGGGAGAUUGCAGGGAUUAAGUGUGCAAUGUCAGGUCAGACACCAUGGGAAGCUAAUCUUAAUUUAAACUUACAACUUUAAAGACCAUCAGUAAUUAGUUACAUGGUUUUCAUCAAUAUAUAAUUCAGAGACACUAAAUUUUUAUAGGCUCCUUAGUUCAGAGGCAGAGGAAGUGAUAAGUCCAUUUGACUUUUUAAACAAUGUGAAACUCCUGUAAUUCAUUAUUUUCAAUGAGUAUUUUCAUAUACAUAUAUAUAUAAAGUAUGUCAUUCCAUGAAUAUGAAUAUAUAUUUUACUCAUAUAAAACAUAGUAAUAUAUUGAUAAAAUUAUAUAUGAAUAUAAAUAUAAGAUACAAAUAUAUUUCAAUAUGUAGUUUAAUACAUUUGUAUAUAUUUCAGGUAAAUACCUGUUCUGAUAUAUUGCUUGUGUUUUCUUCAUUGGGAACAUCAAUUAUACAUAUAUUGAAACUUCUCUUUCUACUUAUGUUUUUUUCCUCAAAGUAUUUAAUGUUUUUUAUUUGAUAUUUUUAACUUACAUGUUUUCAACAUCUAAUUCAAUUGAAGAAUUUGUGUUUUGUGUUCCUUUUGUUUUAGACUUAUUUUUUUAAAAAAAUAUCUAUUUCGUAUUGAUUUCUAAAACCCAUUAAAAAAAUAAUUUUAUGGUUGCACCCAUGGCAUAUGGAAGUUUCCUGGCCAGGGGUUGAAUAAAACCCAUUUAGUUUAAUUUUUUGUUUUGUUUUGUUUUUGUGGCCUUUCCUGUAGCAUGUGCAAGUUCCUGGCCUAGGGAUAGAAUCUGCACCACACUAGCGGCCUGAGCCUCUGCAAUGAAAAAUGCCGUAUCCUUAACCUGCUGUGCCACCAGGGAACUUUGCUAAAACCCAUUUUUGAGUUCUACUAUUAAUCACUUAUGCUGUACAUUCAUAUUUUGUAUAGUGUUUAUAUAUUUCUAUAUAUCUGGAAAUACUGGGCUAUAUUUUCCACCAAUUUAGUCUUGCUGGCAUGAUGUAAUUGUAGGGAUGUUAUUCUAGUCCUUUUCCUCAUUCAUUAUGUCUUUUUAUAAUAUUUCACUGAAAAUAUUUGUUUGAUUAUUUUUAAAUUAUAUUUUUUAUGCUGUUUCUUUUAGAAGGGAGAAGUUGGUCAUAAAAGCUGUUUUAAAACUUCUGUCUAUAAAUACCUCUUUUGUGAAAUCUUAACCCAUCUUCUCAUACUUAGGAGAUUUUCUUAUUCUUUUCUCCACCCCAUUUUUACCUCUUUUUCUAUUGCCUCUGUUUUUCCCAAUUUUAAAUCCUUUUCCAAAUGUUUCUCUGUGGUUGCUGUUUGUCCUGGGGGCUUUGGCAGACUGCUUUAAAGAAUGUAUAACCUAAAAAAAAAGCAAAAAACAAAACUCCAUAUGC